RNAcentral lists this long non-coding RNA (248 nucleotides) under Actinidia chinensis (golden kiwifruit). RNAcentral describes it as "long non-coding RNA (ACHI_LNC007342)". The record is from RNAcentral. Lineage: Eukaryota; Viridiplantae; Streptophyta; Magnoliopsida; Ericales; Actinidiaceae.
UGGAAAUUAUCACGUGUGGUUAAGACCAUAAGAAUUAUUGUGCACUAAAUUUAAAAAGUGGUCAAUGGGAUGAAUUUUUAGUCGUGUGAAUAGUCGUUUACUAUGUUUUUCAGUGGUCUGAAUCCAAAUUUAGGGUCAGUUUAGACUAAUUCUAAAGUUAAAAUAACGUGGUACAUAAAGUGGUGAUCGGUACGGUAGGGAUUUUGAGUAUGUUUGGUAGCAAUCGACGGUGAAAACUUGUCCAAUCG